This 536-nucleotide unclassified non-coding RNA is filed under the name Hevea brasiliensis (rubber tree). Lineage: Eukaryota; Viridiplantae; Streptophyta; Magnoliopsida; Malpighiales; Euphorbiaceae. The record is from RNAcentral.
CAACCCACAAUGGCAAUACUUCCACCAUGACUUUUUGCAACUUAUUCUGCUCAAUACCAUCAUUAAGAAGUCCUUCAAGCUCAUCAAAACUUCCCCUCAAAUCCAGUAAAAUGCUGCACAGUCCCCGACGCUUACAAUAUUCCAAAAUUUCAUUCAAGCAUAUCCCAUCCAAUACCACAGUUUCAAUUCCUUUUUGAGCUGUUACUGGUUCGACAGUUGUCUCUUUGUCUGUAAAUAUAAUCAUUUUGGAUGUUGCUUCUUCCCCUACAGAACGGAUUUGGAUUGGAGAAGAACGAGAAGCUGCAGUUAUGACACAAAGGGGUUGAUUGGCACCAGGUUCUUGUGAUGUAGGAACUAAAAACUUGUCAAUUAAUGAGCUAGAAACUAUAAUUGCAUCAUAUUCCUGUAACAAUUUUGAGUAGUAUCCACCACACUCUGUGACUCCUUCCCCAAGUUGAUUUAAAAGGUGGCCAUUGACCGAGAGGGAGUAUCUGAGCGUAACAAAAGGUUUUCCGGUCAGCAUUUGAUGGAUGUAG